UACGGAGGGUGCAAGCGUUAUCCGGAUUCACUGGGUUUAAAGGGUGCGUAGGUGGGUUGAUAAGUCAGUGGUGAAAUCUCCGAGCUUAACUUGGAAACUGCCAUUGAUACUAUCAGUCUUGAAUACCGUGGAGGUUAGCGGAAUAUGUCAUGUAGCGGUGAAAUGCUUAGAUAUGACAUAGAACACCCAUUGCGAAGGCAGCUGACUACACGGAGAUUGACACUGAGGCACGAAAGCGUGGGGAUCAAACAGG
RNAcentral lists this ribosomal RNA (253 nucleotides) under uncultured bacterium. Its description in RNAcentral is "partial 16S ribosomal RNA". It matches the Rfam family "Bacterial small subunit ribosomal RNA", at positions 524 to 776 of the family's 1533-position model. The record is from RNAcentral.